Molecule: ribosomal RNA, 662 nt
Filed under: uncultured bacterium
Lineage: Bacteria
Description: bacterial SSU rRNA
Rfam family: Bacterial small subunit ribosomal RNA
Source: RNAcentral
UUCACCGAAUGCUUGCAUUCACCGAAAGAAGCUUAGUGGCGAACGGGUGAGUAACACGUAGGCAACCUGCCCAAAAGAGGGGGAUAACACUUGGAAACAGGUGCUAAUACCGCAUAACCAUGAACACCGCAUGAUGUUCAUGUAAAAGACGGCUUUUGCUGUCACUUUUGGAUGGGCCUGCGGCGUAUUAACUUGUUGGUGGGGUAACGGCCUACCAAGGUGAUGAUACGUAGCCGAACUGAGAGGUUGAUCGGCCACAUUGGGACUGAGACACGGCCCAAACUCCUACGGGAGGCAGCAGUAGGGAAUCUUCCACAAUGGACGAAAGUCUGAUGGAGCAACGCCGCGUGAAUGAAGAAGGCCUUCGGGUCGUAAAAUUCUGUUGUCAGAGAAGAACGUGCGUGAGAGUAACUGUUCACGUAUUGACGGUAUCUGACCAGAAAGCCACGGCUAACUACGUGCCAGCAGCCGCGGUAAUACGUAGGUGGCGAGCGUUGUCCGGAUUUAUUGGGCGUAAAGGGAACGCAGGCGGUCUUUUAAGUCUGAUGUGAAAGCCUUCGGCUUAACCGAAGUAGUGCAUUGGAAACUGGAAGACUUGAGUGCAGAAGAGGAGAGUGGAACUCCAUGUGUAGCGGUGAAAUGCGUAGAUAUAUGGAAGAACG